GACGAACGCUGGCGGCGUGCUUAACACAUGCAAGUCGAACGGAAAGGCCCUGCUUUUGUUGGGUGCUCGAGUGGCGAACGGGUGAGUAACACGUGAGUAACCUGCCCUUGACUUUUGGAUAACUUCAGGAAACUUGGGCUAAUACCGGAUAGGAGCUCCUGCUGCAUGGUGGGGGUUGGAAAGUUUCGGCGGUUGGGGAUGGACUCGCGGCUUAUCAGCUUGUUGGUGGGGUAGUGGCUUACCAAGGCUUUGACGGGUAGCCGGCCUGAGAGGGUGACCGGCCACAUUGGGACUGAGAUACGGCCCAGACUCCUACGGGAGGCAGCAGUGGGGAAUAUUGCACAAUGGGCGGAAGCCUGAUGCAGCAACGCCGCGUGCGGGAUGACGGCCUUCGGGUUGUAAACCGCUUUCGCCUGUGACGAAGCGUGAGUGACGGUAAUGGGUAAAGAAGCACCGGCUAACUACGUG
This 468-nucleotide ribosomal RNA is filed under the name uncultured bacterium. RNAcentral's name for it is "partial 16S ribosomal RNA". It matches the Rfam family "Bacterial small subunit ribosomal RNA", at positions 28 to 507 of the family's 1533-position model. The record is from RNAcentral.